Molecule: long non-coding RNA, 1914 nt
Organism: Trifolium pratense (red clover)
Lineage: Eukaryota; Viridiplantae; Streptophyta; Magnoliopsida; Fabales; Fabaceae
Exons: 13
Source: RefSeq, a predicted model, not a curated record
GGCAAUUUAGGGCAGCUGAAGAUGCAUCUAAUGCGAGUGGGGACAAGGCUAUGAUUUUUUGUUUUGUGGAGUUUACUGAACCCAAAUGUGCUCUCACCGCCAUCGACGCUCUGCAAGAUAAAGGGUGGAUUUUGAUCUAGCUUGAAGGUUUGAUUGAAAAACAUGAAAUAACAUGUAUAGAGUAUUUAUACCGGCGAGGAAAAGAGAGUUCCGACCGAGAGAGUUGCAGUGGCAGUUCGCGGUGACACCGCCGUGCUUGGCGAUGGAGGUGAUGAAGCCUUUUUCUCCUUCUUUCCUCUGCAAUCAUAGCUGCUUAUUAUCAUUCAGCUGAAGCAGCUAUGUCUAAAGGAUCUUUUGAAGACAAUUUCAACCCUUUACCUAUUGACAUUUUUGGUGUAUUGCAAAUUUUGGUUUAAGAUGUACUCUCUUGCUGAUCCAUCUGGACGGAAAACAGCAUUGGUGGCCAUGAGGAACUCCAUAUAUCUAAUCCCUUUGGGUAUUUUGGCAUAUGAUUGGGGCGUGACUUCUGGAUGGUUUUGUCUCGAGUCCACUGCACUUGCACUUGCACUUGCAAUAAGCGCCGCAACGUUUUCAUUUUAUAGAGACCGUACUAAGGAAAGAGCUAGGAGAAUGUUUCAUGCCAGUCUUCUUUAUCUCCCUGUUUUUGGUAUCUCUCCUUAGACAAUGAUACAGUCAUUUAUUCGCUCUAUCCAUCACCAGCAAAUACAUUUUGCAUAUCAUCCCUUUUCUUUCACUCAAAAUGGCUAACUCAGGAAUAUAUGUGAAGAUGACUAAGAUUUCUGAGAUUACUGGCCGAAAAAUUGAUUUUCAAUUGAGAGUUCGAGUAAUUAAUCUCUGGUCUACACCAGAUCGUGCUAAUCCGAGAGAAGAAGGGGCUCUCCACAUGAUUUUCCUUGAUAAAGAUUGUGCUGCAGGUUGAGAAAUUAGAUCUUAUAACUGCUGCUAUGGGACAUGCAUUGGCCACAGAAGGAGGAUUCUGCACCAGAAGUGCGAGAGUUAUAGAUCAUCAAGUUCUUAUAAAAUUGGUACUGCAUCAUCUGUAAAUGCAGCUUACAUAUUUUCCAGAAACAAUCUUUCUCGGCCUGCUAUACAGCUUCCUUGUGCAAGCAAAGCUAUUGUAGGGUGGAUUUUGAUCUAGCUUGAAAGUUUUGAUCAUCUGUUAUAAGAGAUUACUUCUUAUUGGCUACUAGAGAUCGAAUCAGUAAACCUUUAUUUAUGGUUUAAUUGAUUCAAUCCAACCGCUUGAACCAAAUGACUUAAUAAACAAGUAAUUAAUAAAAAUGAAAACAAUGAACCAGUUGAACCAACCAAAUUUCAACUCAGUUCAAUCCGGCAAUCCUCUUCUGUGAUGGUCAUUGUGGCAAUUGUAUGUUCCUAUUUGCAGGAUAAAUUGAGGCACCAGGUUGUUUUUGACACACUCAGGGGUGAUUGGAUGAUUGCCUUUGGAAAUUGGGAAUUUGACCCAAUGAAGCUUAGUAAUCCAUUCCCUCACAAUAACAGAAGUUCAGUUCACAUUUGGCAGGGCUAUGAAGAUAAAGUAGUACCCUCUCAAAUUCAAAGAUUCAUUUCAGAGAAGCUACCAUGGAUACAAUAUCAUGAAGUUGUAGAUGGUGGUCAUUUGAUUGUACAUUAUAGUGGCUUAGGCGAGGCGAUUUUGAAGGCACUUUUACUUGGGGAAGAAGAUAUUUCAUAUAAACCUAGAUCAUCAAAAUCUGUAUCUUAAUUUUGCCAUGACUUUUAUCAUAAUCCAAUGUUUAUUAUUGGUUAAUUUUUUGGAGAAGUGCCAGAUAUUUAAAUCACAUUAUUUGGUUGAAAGGAGGAAACUAUCAUAUACAAUCAUGUAUACUGUCUUUAUUCAUUUUUGAAAGAAAUGUUAGAAACAUGUUUUUUUUU